UUUCAUCGGGCAUCGUAACAUGCUACGUUACCACCCGACGGUGGGUGAGUUUGCUUACGAAUCUGCCUAUUAGUGGGGGACAACAUUUCGAAAGGAAUGCUAAUACCGCAUACGCCCUACGGGGGAAAGCAGGGGACCUUCGGGCCUUGCGCUAAUAGAUGAGCCUAAGUCGGAUUAGCUAGUUGGUGGGGUAAAGGCCUACCAAGGCGACGAUCUGUAGCGGGUCUGAGAGGAUGAUCCGCCACACUGGGACUGAGACACGGCCCAGACUCCUACGGGAGGCAGCAGUGGGGAAUAUUGGACAAUGGGGGGAACCCUGAUCCAGCCAUGCCGCGUGUGUGAAGAAGGCCUUUUGGUUGUAAAGCACUUUAAGCGAGGAGGAGGCUCCCAGUAUUAAUACUACUGGAGAGUGGACGUUACUCGCAGAAUAAGCACCGGCUAACUCUGUGCCAGCAGCCGCGGUAAUACAGAGGGUGCAAGCGUUAAUCGGAUUUACUGGGCGUAAAGCGUGCGUAGGUGGCCAAUUAAGUCAAAUGUGAAAUCCCCGAGCUUAACUUGGGAAUUGCAUUCGAUACUGGUUGGCUAGAGUAUGGGAGAGGAUGGUAGAAUCCCAGGUGUAGCGGUGAAAUGCGUAGAGAUCUGGAGGAAUACCGAUGGCGAAGGCAGCCAUCUGGCCUAAUACUGACACUGAGGUACGAAAGCAUGGGGAGCAAACAGGAUUAGAUACCCUGGUAGUCCAUGCCGUAAACGAUGUCUACUAGCCGUUGGGGUCUUUGAGACUUUAGUGGCGCAGCUAACGCGAUAAGUAGACCGCCUGGGGAGUACGGUCGCAAGACUAAAACCUCAAUGAAUUGACGGGGGCCCGCACCAGCGGUGGAGCAUGUGGUUUAAUUCGAUGCCACGCGAAAGACCUUACCCUGUUCUGACAUAGUAAGAACUUUCAGAGAUGGAUUGGUGCCUUCGG
RNAcentral lists this ribosomal RNA (964 nucleotides) under Acinetobacter sp. FS-YC6707. RNAcentral's name for it is "bacterial SSU rRNA". It matches the Rfam family "Bacterial small subunit ribosomal RNA", at positions 61 to 1023 of the family's 1533-position model. Lineage: Bacteria; Pseudomonadati; Pseudomonadota; Gammaproteobacteria; Moraxellales; Moraxellaceae. The record is from RNAcentral.